Long non-coding RNA from Symphalangus syndactylus (siamang), 810 nucleotides. RefSeq lists it as uncharacterized. NCBI's taxonomy places the organism in Eukaryota, Metazoa, Chordata, Mammalia, Primates, Hylobatidae. The record is from RefSeq and is a predicted model, not a curated record.
CUGCAGGCUCUCAUACUCCAGCAUUCCCGGAACUGCGGAGAGACAGGGAGGCUGUGCUGACAUGCAAGGAGACACACGCGGAACGUUCCCGACGCUCUUCGACUAAAUGGAAAAGCUCACAGAAGGCCCAUGGAAGCGCAUAGGAAAAUGAAACAAAACUGCAGAGCAUCCAAGGAAACAAACUGCUCUGAAGAGGAAAAGUCCUGUGAGGACACAGGGAUGGAGAAAGUGGCUGUCAGCAAGCCAGGAAGAGAGCUCUCACCAGGAAGUGACCAUGCUGGCACCCUGAUCUCAGAUGUUUAGCCUCCAGAACUGUGAGGAAAUAAAUCUCUUGUUUAAGCCACCCAGCCUGCGGUAUUUUGUUAUAGUAGCCUGAGUGAACUAAUGGAAUAUGUUUAACAUGUUCAAAGAGACUAAAUAAAAAGAAAAAAUUAAGAAUAGGACAUUAUGGGGCUGGGUGUGGUGGCUCACGCCUGUAAUCCAGCACUUUGGGAGGCUGAGACAGGCGGAUCACUUGAAGUCAGGAGUUCAAGACCAGCCUGGCCAACAUGGUGAAACCCCAUCUCUAUUAAAAAUCCAAAAAUUAGCCAGGCACGGUGGCGCAUGCCUGUAGCCACAGCUACUCAAGAGGCUGAGGCAGGAGAACUGCUUGAACCCAGGAGGCGAAGGUUGCAGUGAGCUAAGAUCGUGCCACUGUACUCCAGCCUGGGUGACAGAGUAAGACCCCAUCUCAAAAAAGAAAAAGAAAAAAAAAAAGAAUAGGACAUUGUGUAAGAGACAGAGGUGAAAAGGAACAAGAGAAAUUUUAGA